This 1066-nucleotide ribosomal RNA is filed under the name Absidia repens. Its description in RNAcentral is "SSU rRNA". It matches the Rfam family "Eukaryotic small subunit ribosomal RNA", at positions 128 to 1190 of the family's 1831-position model. Lineage: Eukaryota; Fungi; Mucoromycota; Mucoromycetes; Mucorales; Cunninghamellaceae. The record is from RNAcentral.
UUACUUUACUACUGGAUAACCGUGGUAAUUCUAGAGCUAAUACAUGCAGAAAAGGCCCGACUUCGGAAGGGCUGCACUUAUUAGAUCUAAACCUUCCUGGGUAAAACCAGUUCUUUGGUGAUUCAUAAUAAUUUAGCUGAUCGCAUGGCCUUGCGCCGGCGACGGUACAUUCGAUUUUCUGCCCUAUCAGGCUGUUGAUUGUAAGAUAGAGGCUUACAAUGGCUACCACGGGUAACGGGGAAUUAGGGUUCUAUUCCGGAGAGGGAGCCUGAGAAACGGCUACCACAUCCAAGGAAGGCAGCAGGCGCGCAAAUUACCCAAUCCCAAUUCGGGGAGGUAGUGACAAUAAAUAACAAUGCUGGGCAUUUUUGCCUAGCAAUUGGAAUGAGUACAAUUUAAAUCCCUUAACGAGGAUCAAUUGGAGGGCAAGUCUGGUGCCAGCAGCCGCGGUAAUUCCAGCUCCAAAAGCGUAUAUUAAAGUUGUUGCAGUUAAAACGUCCGUAGUCGAAUUUACACCUGGUGCCUGAACCGCCGGUUCUUCAUUGAGCUGGAUUGGUUUCAGGCCCGGUGAUAAAGUCUGGUCUAUAGCUUGGUUGGCUUCGGUCGGCUGAGUUCCCUGGCCAGGCGUAUUACCAUGAGCAAAUCAGAAUGCUCAAAGUAGGCCUACGCGCCUGAAUGUGUUAGCAUGGAAUAAUAAAAUAGGACUCGAGUCUUGUUUUGUUGGUUUACUUGACAUUGAGAAAUGAUGAAUAGGAACGGUUGGGGGCAUUUGUAUUUGGCCGCUAGAGGUGAAAUUCUUGGAUUGGCCGAAGACAAACUACUGCGAAAGCAUUUGACCCAGGACGUUUUCAUUGAUCAGGGACUAAAGUUGAGGGAUCGAAGACGAUUAGAUACCGUCGUAGUCUUAACCACAAACUAUGCCGACUAGCGAUUGGGCCUUGACCUUUGGUCAGGUUCAGCAGCUUAGCGAAAGUAAAGUCUUUGGGUUCUGGGGGGAGUAUGGGACGCAAGGCUGAAACUUAAAGGAAUUGACGGAAGGGCACCACCAGGAGUGGAGCCUGCGGCU